RNAcentral lists this unclassified non-coding RNA (391 nucleotides) under soil metagenome. Its description in RNAcentral is "partial contains 5.8S ribosomal RNA, internal transcribed spacer 2, and large subunit ribosomal RNA". The stretch from base 1 to 122 matches the Rfam family "5.8S ribosomal RNA", at positions 35 to 154 of the family's 154-position model. The record is from RNAcentral.
GAUGAAGAACGCAGCGAAAUGCGAUACUUGGUGUGAAUUGCAGAAUCCCGUGAACCAUCGAGUCUUUGAACGCAAGUUGCGCCCGAAGCCAUUAGGCCGAGGGCACGCCUGCCUGGGCGUCACACGUCGUUGCCCCCCCCAUCUACUCCUUCGGGAUUGCGGGGGGCGGAUGAUGGCCUCCCGUGCGCCUCGCCGCGCGGUUGGCAUAAAUGCCAAGUCCUCGGCGACGCACGCCACGACAAUCGGUGGUUGCGAAACCUCGGUUGCCCGUCGUGUGCGGUCGUCGCGCAUCGAGGGCUCGAAAAAAUUGCCGAGUUCCGGCUCGGCUUUCAACGCGACCCCAGGUCAGGCGGGGUUACCCGCUGAAUUUAAGCAUAUCAAUAGCGGAGGA